GUGGGGAAUCUUGCGCAAUGGGCGAAAGCCUGACGCAGCCAUGCCGCGUGAAUGAUGAAGGUCUUAGGAUUGUAAAAUUCUUUCACCGGGGACGAUAAUGACGGUACCCGGAGAAGAAGCCCCGGCUAACUUCGUGCCAGCAGCCGCGGUAAUACGAAGGGGGCUAGCGUUGCUCGGAAUUACUGGGCGUAAAGGGCGCGUAGGCGGACAGUUUAGUCAGAGGUGAAAGCCCAGGGCUCAACCUUGGAAUUGCCUUUGAUACUGGCUGUCUUGAGUUUGGGAGAGGUGAGUGGAACUCCGAGUGUAGAGGUGAAAUUCGUAGAUAUUCGGAGGAACACCAGUGGCGAAGGCGGCUCACUGGCUCGAUACUGACGCUGAGGUGCGAAAGCGUGGGGAGCAAACAGGAUUAGAAACCCCGGUAGUCC
RNAcentral lists this ribosomal RNA (425 nucleotides) under uncultured bacterium. Its description in RNAcentral is "bacterial SSU rRNA". It matches the Rfam family "Bacterial small subunit ribosomal RNA", at positions 354 to 796 of the family's 1533-position model. The record is from RNAcentral.